Molecule: long non-coding RNA, 525 nt
Organism: Corylus avellana
Lineage: Eukaryota; Viridiplantae; Streptophyta; Magnoliopsida; Fagales; Betulaceae
Source: RefSeq, a predicted model, not a curated record
UUCUAUCUCCAAUUAUGAGGGCCUCUUUUGUAGUAUGUCUUCUUUUGGCUUCCAUGAUCCUUCUUCUUCCUUCCUUGACAAAAGCUCGAGAACUGUCUCAAACUGGAGAAACAAGUAUUCAUCACAAGAGUACUACUGCAGCGGAUUUACCCGCCCCUCCUGUUCGCAACUGCAACCGUCCUCCAAAAUAUUCUUCUUGCCUGCCUACUAAGCCAAAGCCACCGUCAGAGAAAUGUAAGCCGACUUACAGUCGUGGAUGCUAGGUGCAGCCCUUUCAAAAAGAAAUAUCUGGCUUCACUAAUGGAGUUGUACGUUGCUGGCUCUCAGAUGGCAAUUAAGUUGUAUCAAUUAUUUAAGUUGCUUAAUUAAUUAUGUGAAGAGGCCGGAAUUAAUGGUGAAGAAUAACCACACAAUUAGCCUUGGGGAAAUUAGUGAUGGCUUCUGCUGUUAUGUGUUGUAUCUCUGUAUUUCCUUUCCUUGCUGUAAAACUAUAUAUAUAUACUUUUGAUGUCAUAUUUAUUUGCU